AGCUUUGCUCAUUGGCAGUAUUGUAGCCAAUGAAGUUUAUCUGAGGCACAAUUAUUGCUAAAAAUGGACAUCUUAUCAGAUCCCUUCUGUGAGAACUUGGAGUGAACUCC
Fukomys damarensis (Damara mole-rat) is the source of this 110-nucleotide small nuclear RNA. Its record names the gene U4. It matches the Rfam family "U4 spliceosomal RNA". Rfam says of the family: U4 small nuclear RNA (U4 snRNA) is a component of the major U2-dependent spliceosome. The structure of U4 snRNA from yeast and human has been reported. The record is from Ensembl. NCBI's taxonomy places the organism in Eukaryota, Metazoa, Chordata, Mammalia, Rodentia, Bathyergidae.